GUGGCGAAGGCGGCCCCCUGGACAAAGACUGACGCUCAGGUGCGAAAGCGUGGGGAGCAAACAGGAUUAGAUACCCUGGUAGUCCACGCCGUAAACGAUGUCUACUUGGAGGUUGUGCCCUUGAGGCGUGGCUUCCGGAGCUAACGCGUUAAGUAGACCGCCUGGGGAGUACGGCCGCAAGGUUAAAACUCAAAUGAAUUGACGGGGGCCCGCACAAGCGGUGGAGCAUGUGGUUUAAUUCGAUGCAACGCGAAGAACCUUAC
RNAcentral lists this ribosomal RNA (263 nucleotides) under Salmonella enterica subsp. enterica serovar Typhimurium. RNAcentral's name for it is "partial 16S ribosomal RNA". It matches the Rfam family "Bacterial small subunit ribosomal RNA", at positions 712 to 974 of the family's 1533-position model. Lineage: Bacteria; Pseudomonadati; Pseudomonadota; Gammaproteobacteria; Enterobacterales; Enterobacteriaceae. The record is from RNAcentral.